AUUGAACGCUGGCGGCAGGCCUAACACAUGCAAGUCGAGCGGAUGAAGGGAGCUUGCGCCUGGCUUCAGCGACGGACGGGUGAGUAAUGCCUAGGAAUCUGCCUGGUAGUGGGGGCUAACGUCCGGAAAGGAGCGCUAAUACCGCAUACGUCCUGAGGGAGAAAGGGGGGGAUCUUCGGACCUCACGCUAUCAGAUGAGCCUAGGCCGGAUUAGCUAGUUGGUGGGGUAAAGGCUUACCAAGGCGACGAUCCGUAACUGGUCUGAGAGGAUGAUCAGCCACACUGGAACUGAGACACGGUCCAGACUCCUACGGGAGGCAGCAGUAGGGAAUAUUCGGCAAUGGGCGAAAGCCUGACGGAGCCAUGCCGCGUGUGUGAAGAAGGUCUUCGGAUUGUAAAGCACUUUAAGUUGGGAGGAACGGCAGUGAGAGUAACUAUUCACGUCUUGACGGUACCUACACAGUAAGCAACGGCUAACUACGUG
This 484-nucleotide ribosomal RNA is filed under the name uncultured bacterium. Its description in RNAcentral is "partial 16S ribosomal RNA". It matches the Rfam family "Bacterial small subunit ribosomal RNA", at positions 30 to 507 of the family's 1533-position model. The record is from RNAcentral.